This 497-nucleotide ribosomal RNA is filed under the name uncultured bacterium. Its description in RNAcentral is "partial 16S ribosomal RNA". It matches the Rfam family "Bacterial small subunit ribosomal RNA", at positions 28 to 507 of the family's 1533-position model. The record is from RNAcentral.
GAUGAACGCUGGCGGCGUGCCUAAUACAUGCAAGUCGAGCGAACAGACGAGGAGCUUGCUCCUCUGACGUUAGCGGCGGACGGGUGAGUAACACGUGGAUAACCUACCUAUAAGACUGGGAUAACUUCGGGAAACCGGAGCUAAUACCGGAGAAUAUAUUGAACCGCAUGGUUCAAUAGUGAAAGACGGUUUUGCUGUCACUUAUAGAUGGAUCCGCGCCGCAUUAGCUAGUUGGUAAGGUAACGGCUUACCAAGGCAACGAUGCGUAGCCGACCUGAGAGGGUGAUCGGCCACCCUGGAACUGAGACACGGUCCAGACUCCUACGGGAGGCAGCAGUAGGGAAUCUUCCGCAAUGGGCGAGAGCCUGACGGAGCAACGCCGCGUGAGUGAUGAAGGUCUUCGGAUCGUAAAACUCUGUUAUUAGGGAAGAACAAAUGUGUAAGUAACUAUGCACGUCUUGACGGUACCUAAUCAGAAAGCCACGGCUAACUACGUG